RNAcentral lists this ribosomal RNA (478 nucleotides) under uncultured bacterium. Its description in RNAcentral is "partial 16S ribosomal RNA". It matches the Rfam family "Bacterial small subunit ribosomal RNA", at positions 28 to 523 of the family's 1533-position model. The record is from RNAcentral.
GACGAACGCUGGCGGCGUGCUUAACACAUGCAAGUCGAACGGUAAGGCCCUUCGGGGUACACGAGUGGCGAACGGGUGAGUAACACGUGGGUGAUCUGCCCUGCACUUCGGGAUAAGCCUGGGAAACUGGGUCUAAUACCGGAUAGGACUCCGGACUGCAUGGUCUGGGGUGGAACGCUUUUGCGGUGUGGGAUGGGCCCGCGGCCUAUCAGCUUGUUGGUGGGGUGAUGGCCUACCAAGGCGACGACGGGUAGCCGGCCUGAGAGGGUGACCGGCCACACUGGGACUGAGAUACGGCCCAGACUCCUACGGGAGGCAGCAGUGGGGAAUAUUGCACAAUGGGCGCAAGCCUGAUGCAGCGACGCCGCGUGAGGGAUGACGGCCUUCGGGUUGUAAACCUCUUUCAGCAUCGACGAAGCGAAAGUGACGGUAGGUGCAGAAGAAGGACCGGCCAACUACGUGCCAGCAGCAGCCGCCG